Molecule: non-coding RNA, 74 nt
Organism: Aedes aegypti (yellow fever mosquito)
Lineage: Eukaryota; Metazoa; Arthropoda; Insecta; Diptera; Culicidae
Source: Rfam
CCUCUCAUGGCGUAGUGGUUAACGCGCCCCAAUUAGAGAUCGGGGAGUCGUGAGUUCGAUUCUCACUGAGAAGA